CCUACGGGUGGCAGCAGUGGGGAAUAUUGGACAAUGGGCGAAAGCCUGAUCCAGCCAUGCCGCGUGUGUGAAGAAGGCCUUCGGGUUGUAAAGCACUUUCAGUGGGGAAGAAAGCCUUGGGGCUAAUACCCUCGAGGAAGGACAUCACCCACAGAAGAAGCACCGGCUAACUCCGUGCCAGCAGCCGCAGUAAUACGGAGGGUGCGAGCGUUAAUCGGAAUUACUGGGCGUAAAGCGCGCGUAGGCGGUCUGAUAAGCCGGUUGUGAAAGCCCCGGGCUCAACCUGGGAACGGCAUCCGGAACUGUCAGGCUAGAGUGCAGGAGAGGAAGGUAGAAUUCCCGGUGUAGCGGUGAAAUGCGUAGAGAUCGGGAGGAAUACCAGUGGCGAAGGCGGCCUUCUGGACUGACACUGACGCUGAGGUGCGAAAGCGUGGGUAGCAAACAGGAUUAGAUACCCUUGUAGUC
Molecule: ribosomal RNA, 465 nt
Filed under: Vreelandella stevensii
Lineage: Bacteria; Pseudomonadati; Pseudomonadota; Gammaproteobacteria; Oceanospirillales; Halomonadaceae
Description: partial 16S ribosomal RNA
Rfam family: Bacterial small subunit ribosomal RNA
Source: RNAcentral